AACAGGAUUAGAUACCCUGGUAGUCCACGCCGUAAACGUUGGGAACUAGAUGUGGGGACCAUUCCACGGUCUCCGUGUCGCAGCUAACGCAUUAAGUUCCCCGCCUGGGGAGUACGGCCGCAAGGCUAAAACUCAAAGGAAUUGACGGGGGCCCGCACAAGCGGCGGAGCAUGCGGAUUAAUUCGAUGCAACGCGAAGAACCUUACCAAGACUUGACAUAUACGAGAACGGGCUAGAAAUAGUCAACUCUUUGGACACUCGUAAACAGGUGGUGCAUGGUUGUCGCCAGCUCGUGUCGUGAGAUGUUGGGUUAAGUCCCGCAACGAGCGCAACCCUCGUUCUAUGUUGCCAGCACGUAAUGGUGGGAACUCAUAGGAGACUGCCGGGGUCAACUCGGAGGAAGGCGGGGAUGACGUCAAAUCAUCAUGCCCCUUAUGUCUUGGGCUUCACGCAUGCUACAAUGGCCGGUACAAAGGGCUGCAAUACCGUAAGGUGGAGCGAAUCCCAAAAAGCCGGUCUCAGUUCGGAUUGAGGUCUGCAACUCGACCUCAUGAAGUCGGAGUCGCUAGUAAUCGUGGAUCAGCAACGCCACGGUGAAUACGUUCCCGGGCCUUGUACACACCGCCCGUCAAGUCAUGAAAGUCGGUAACACCCGAAGCCGGUGGCCUAACCCUUGUGGAAGGAGCCGUCGAAGGUGGGAUCGGUGAUUAGGACUAAGUCGUAACAAGGUAACC
RNAcentral lists this ribosomal RNA (734 nucleotides) under uncultured bacterium. Its description in RNAcentral is "bacterial SSU rRNA". It matches the Rfam family "Bacterial small subunit ribosomal RNA", at positions 771 to 1501 of the family's 1533-position model. The record is from RNAcentral.